UCGUUCGUUCCUGCUUGUUAUGUUUUAGUUGGAUAUUUUGUAUUGUACGUUUCGUUUGAACCAUUAUAUGUUUUUAAUCAAGGAAAUUAAGGUCGAGAUUAAGAUCUUGGUGUCUAUUUUUUCUUAUCUACUGAAUUUCCUCGGUUAAAGAAAUUUACUGGUUCAUAUUUAUAUUUUCUGUGUUUGUUUUAUUAUUUGCGAUGAUGAUAAUGUGUAUCCCAGCUCAUUAUGAGGCCUUUUUGUAAGGUCUGGGAAUUCAAUCUUCC
This 266-nucleotide long non-coding RNA is filed under the name Lathyrus oleraceus (garden pea). Lineage: Eukaryota; Viridiplantae; Streptophyta; Magnoliopsida; Fabales; Fabaceae. The record is from RNAcentral.